This 3047-nucleotide ribosomal RNA is filed under the name Candidatus Azambacteria bacterium GW2011_GWF2_42_22. Its description in RNAcentral is "bacterial LSU rRNA". It matches the Rfam family "Bacterial large subunit ribosomal RNA", at positions 1 to 2151 of the family's 2925-position model. The record is from RNAcentral. Lineage: Bacteria; Candidatus Azamiibacteriota.
AUAGGUUAUUAAGGGCGUAUGGAGGAUGCCUUGGCACAAAAAGGCGAUGAAGGACGCGGCAUGACUGCGAUAAGCGUCGGGGAGCCGUCUAGCGGGCUUUGAUCCGGCGGUGUCCGAAUGGGGCAACCCAUGGCGAGUAAUGUCGCCAUAUCUUUAUCCGUAAGAGAUAAAGGAGCAAACCCGGGGAAGUAAAACAUUUCAGUACCCGGAGGAAAAGAAAAAAAGAAUCAAUCUAUUAUUCAUGGGUCCGGAUAGUCGGGCUAAUGAAUAAUAUUUUGAUAAUAUUCCCCCAGUAGCGGCGAGCGAAAAGGGAGGAGUCCAAACCCAUCCGAUACUUUCGCAAGAAAGUAACGGGUGGGGGUUGUAAGGAAUAAUCGUUCUUGUAGCAAUACAAGAGGAAAGUCUAUAAACUUCCACCCUUCGGGUGGUCGCCCGCAGGGGCGAAAAAAUUGAUUAGUUGAACGGUUUUGGAAAAGCCGACCAAAGGGGGUAAUAGUCCCGUAAGCGAAAAUCUUUUUAAUACUUUCUGGUUAUUUUCUUGAGUACCGCGGGGAAAGACUGCCCCGCGGGAAGCCGGGAGAACUACACUCCCAAGACUAAAUACUUUUUGUGACCGAUAGUGAACUAGUACCGUGAGGGAAAGGUGAAAAGCAGCCCGGUGAGGGCGAUGAAAUAGAUCCUGAAACCAUACGCUUACAAAGAGCGGGAGCCCGCAAGGGUGACCGUGUGCCUAUUGAAGAAUGAGCCAACGACUUUAUAGGAACGGCUUGGGUAAACCUCGUUUGAGGCGGACCCGUAGGGAAACCAAGUCUGAAUAGGGCGUUUUUGUCGUUCUUAUAAGACCCGAAGCCAGGCGAGCUUACCAUGGUCAGGUUGAACCCCGCAGAAAUGCGGGGGGAGGACCGCACCCACUAGCCGUGCGACACUAGGGGAUGAACUGUGGUAAGAAGUGAAAAGCUAAUCGAGCCUGGGAAUAGCUGGUUCUCUCCGAAAUAGUUUUAGGACUAGCCCCGCGUGUUUUUUAUUGGAGGUAGAGCACUGGUUGGUAUUGAUUGGCGCAAGCUAGCAAGACCAGUCAAACUCCGAAUUCCAUUAAAAUAACUCGGGAGUCAGUAUUCGGGGGCAAAGCUCCGAAUACAAGAGAGCAAGAACUCGGACCAUCGUCUAAGGUCCCUAAAUUUUGGCUAAGUGUAGAAGGAAGUGAUGCGUCGAAGACAAAUAGGAGGUUGGCUUAGAGGUAGCCAUCCUUUAAAGAGUGUGUAACAACUCACUAUUAUAUUUCCCUUUGGGAGAUUGACGCAUCGCGCCGAAGAUAUAACGGGACUAAGCCAGAUACCGAAGACAUGGGUUUGCGAAUUUUAAUUCGCAAGCGGUAGGAGAGCGUUUUUAGCGCAGCGAAGAUUGACCCGCGAGGGCGAUUGGAGCGCUAAGAAGUGAAAAUGUUGGCAUGAGUAACCUGCAAGACAGAUGAGAAAUCUGUCCGCUGAAAGCCUGAGGUUUCCUUGGCAAUGAAAAUCAGCCAAGGGUUAGGCGGUCCUAAGGCAAUGGAGAAAUCCGCAGCCGAUGGACAGACGGUUAAUAUUCCGUCCCUAUCUCAAGCGCUUUUACGGAAUGACGAAGUUUAGUAUGCCGGGCGCCUUAUUGGAUUGGCGUUCUUUGCAUCAGAGUUUUUGGAAGGCAAAUCCUUCCAAAUGCGUUUAAUCGCAAACUUAAGUGUCGAGAAAAUUUUCCCGUUCGCGGGAAGAAAUUUGGCAAAGCAAGCUUCCAAGAAAACUUUCGUAAAUUAGCUUGAGGUAUCCGUACCGAAAACCGACACAGGUGGGCAGGGCGAGCAGCCCACAGCGAACGAGUGAUCCGUGGUUAAGGAACUCGGCAAAAAAGCGGCCGUAAGUUAGCGAUAUGGCCUGCCCCGCUUAGCGGGGCCGCAGCUAAAGAUUCCCUGGCGACUGUUUAUCAAAAACACAGCUCCCUGCUAACUCGCGAGAGGAUGUAUAGGGGGUGAUGCCUGACCUAUGCGAGAAGGUUAACGGCGGAUGUGGUAUUCCCAGCAAUGGAGAUAUUGCUGAUGCCCGAAGCCCUCGUAAAUGUCAGCGAUAACUAUAAUCGUUCUAAGGUCAUGCUUUUGUUGAUUUAUCAAGGAAGGCAUGAGGACUGGAACGAUUAUAAUAAUGAAAAAAAACGCUGCCUAUUCUAAUGAAAAUUAGAAUGUCUAAAAAUUUUCGGCUAUAUGCUGGAAAAUCUGUGGAUAAAAUCCUCAAGUAUCCGAAACUACUAUGGUAUAAUGCGUCCAUAUAAAUAUGGCGAAAAUAUCAAGUAAAAAAGUUAUCGGCGCAGAUAAUCAGCAGGAAAGGCUAAAAAUUGCUUGGUGGAUUUGCGGUUUUGUUGAUGGAGAAGGUUGUUUUUCGGUAAGUAUAAUCAAAAACAAAACUACCAAAUCGGGAAUUCAAAUUUUUCCAGAAUUUGUCGUAACGCAAGGAGCAAAAAGUUUGUUCGCGCUCAAAAAAAUUAAAAAUUUCUUUGAUUGCGGCAAUAUUUUUGUGAAUAAGCGUUAUGACAAUCACAACGAAAAUCUUUACAGAUAUUGUGUAAGAUCUUUGGAGGACUUAAAGACCAAGAUUAUUCCAUUUUUUAUGGAAAAUAAUCUGAAAACUUAUAAGCGAAAGGAUUUUUCAAUUUUUAAAGAUGUUGUGAGAAUAAUGCUUCAGAAAAAGCACCUAAAUGAUUCCGGUAGAAAUAAAAUUCUUUCUUCAAUCGGUAAAAUGAACAGAAGAAAAAAGCGAUUUUAGAAUCCUCACAGACCAUAUGCCGAACCCUGAGUUUAUCGAAGGGAAGAUAUGGUCGGGACUUUAUGGCGACAUAAAGAUUAACAAAAUCAAGCGUAAUUCCUUGUCUGGUAAGUUCAGACGUGCACGAAAGGCCUAACGACUGGGGAACUGUCUCAACCACGAGCUCGGUGAAAUUGCAAUUCCAGCGAAGAUGCUGGGUACCUGUAGCAAGACGAAAAGACCCCGGGAGCUUAUAGGACUUUAAUGCGUAGCAUAGAAGGG